Molecule: ribosomal RNA, 665 nt
Filed under: Ligilactobacillus salivarius
Lineage: Bacteria; Bacillati; Bacillota; Bacilli; Lactobacillales; Lactobacillaceae
Description: bacterial SSU rRNA
Rfam family: Bacterial small subunit ribosomal RNA
Source: RNAcentral
GAAGUUGAGUGGCGGACGGGUGAGUAACACGUGGGUAACCUGCCUAAAAGAAGGGGAUAACACUUGGAAACAGGUGCUAAUACCGUAUAUCUCUAAGGAUCGCAUGAUCCUUAGAUGAAAGAUGGUUCUGCUAUCGCUUUUAGAUGGACCCGCGGCGUAUUAACUAGUUGGUGGGGUAACGGCCUACCAAGGUGAUGAUACGUAGCCGAACUGAGAGGUUGAUCGGCCACAUUGGGACUGAGACACGGCCCAAACUCCUACGGGAGGCAGCAGUAGGGAAUCUUCCACAAUGGACGCAAGUCUGAUGGAGCAACGCCGCGUGAGUGAAGAAGGUCUUCGGAUCGUAAAACUCUGUUGUUAGAGAAGAACACGAGUGAGAGUAACUGUUCAUUCGAUGACGGUAUCUAACCAGCAAGUCACGGCUAACUACGUGCCAGCAGCCGCGGUAAUACGUAGGUGGCAAGCGUUGUCCGGAUUUAUUGGGCGUAAAGGGAACGCAGGCGGUCUUUUAAGUCUGAUGUGAAAGCCUUCGGCUUAACCGGAGUAGUGCAUUGGAAACUGGAAGACUUGAGUGCAGAAGAGGAGAGUGGAACUCCAUGUGUAGCGGUGAAAUGCGUAGAUAUAUGGAAGAACACCAGUGGCGAAAGCGGCUCUCUGGUCUGUAA